CACAUUUCUCAGAAAUUUGACAACAAAACAAAACAAAGCGAGAUAUGUCGAGCCAACAAAGAAGGCGCAGUUGGAAAAUUGAGUAAUUAGUAAUGAAGUAGCAGGCAUAUUUGGAAAAAAUUAUGCCGAUAAGCAGGAUGGAAUUUGG
Rhagoletis zephyria (snowberry fruit fly) is the source of this 148-nucleotide long non-coding RNA. RefSeq lists it as uncharacterized. The record is from RefSeq and is a predicted model, not a curated record. Lineage: Eukaryota; Metazoa; Arthropoda; Insecta; Diptera; Tephritidae.